This 641-nucleotide ribosomal RNA is filed under the name uncultured Actinomycetes bacterium. RNAcentral describes it as "bacterial SSU rRNA". It matches the Rfam family "Bacterial small subunit ribosomal RNA", at positions 232 to 885 of the family's 1533-position model. The record is from RNAcentral. Lineage: Bacteria; Bacillati; Actinomycetota; Actinomycetes.
CGCGGCCUAUCAGCUUGUUGGUGAGGUUAUGGCUUACCAAGGCGACGACGGGUAGCCGGCCUGAGAGGGUGUCCGGCCACACUGGGACUGAGAUACGGCCCAGACUCCUACGGGAGGCAGCAGUGGGGAAUAUUGCACAAUGGGCGCAAGCCUGAUGCAGCGACGCCGCGUGAGGGAUGACGCCCUUCGGGUUGUAAACCUCUUUCAGUACAGACGAAGCGUAAGUGACGGUAUGUACAGAAGAAGCACCGGCCAACUACGUGCCAGCAGCCGCGGUAAUACGUAGGGUGCGAGCGUUGUCCGGAAUUACUGGGCGUAAAGAGCUCGUAGGUGGUUUGUCGCGUUGUUCGUGAAAACCUGAGGCUUAACCUUGGGCGUGCCGGCGAUACGGGCAGACUGGAGUACUGCAGGGGAGACUGGAAUUCCUGGUGUAGCGGUGGAAUGCGCAGAUAUCAGGAGGAACACCGGUGGCGAAGGCGGGUCUCUGGGCAGUAACUGACGCUGAGGAGCGAAAGCGUGGGGAGCGAACAGGAUUAGACCCUGGUAGUCCACGCCGUAAACGGUGGGUACUAGGUGUGGGUUUCCUUCCUUGGGAUCCGUGCCGUAGCUAACGCAUUAAGUACCCCGCCUGGGGAGUACGG